RNAcentral lists this ribosomal RNA (217 nucleotides) under Glomeromycotina sp. RNAcentral describes it as "partial small subunit ribosomal RNA". The stretch from base 41 to 217 matches the Rfam family "Eukaryotic small subunit ribosomal RNA", at positions 686 to 864 of the family's 1831-position model. Lineage: Eukaryota; Fungi; Glomeromycota. The record is from RNAcentral.
GGGGUCAGUAGGUUGGUCGUGCCACCGGUACGUACUGGUCUCACUGAUUCCUCCUUCCUGAAUAACCGUAAUGCCAUUAAUUUGGUGUUGCGGGGAAACAGGACUGUUACUUUGAAAAAAUUAGAGUGUUUAAAGCAAGCUAACGCUUGAAUACAUUAGCAUGGAAUAAUGAAAUAGGACGAUCGAUCCUAUUUUGUUGGUUUCUAGGAUUGACGUA